GCUUGUCUCAAAGAUUAAGCCAUGCAUGUCUUAGUGUAAAUAACUCUUAUGAAACUGCGAAUGGCUCAUUAAAUCAGUUAUCGUUUAUUUGAUGGUCCCUUACUACAUGGAUAACCGUAGUAAUUCUAGAGCUAAUACAUGCACAAAGGCCCGACUCACGAAGGGCUGUAUUUAUUAGAUUUAAAGCCGACAUCUUUUGGUGAUUCAUAAUAACUUUUCGAACCUCAUGCCUUGUGCCGACGACGUUUCCUUCGAAGGUGUGCCCUAUCAACUGUCGACUGUGAUAUAGACGCUCACAGUGGUUUUGACGGGUAACGGGGAAUCAGGGUUCGAUUCCGGAGAGGGAGCCUUAAAAACGGCUACCACAUCCAAGGAAGGCAGCAGG
RNAcentral lists this ribosomal RNA (385 nucleotides) under uncultured Cryptomonadales. RNAcentral's name for it is "partial small subunit ribosomal RNA". It matches the Rfam family "Eukaryotic small subunit ribosomal RNA", at positions 30 to 432 of the family's 1831-position model. Lineage: Eukaryota; Cryptophyceae; Cryptomonadales. The record is from RNAcentral.